GACGAACGCUGGCGGCGUGCUUAACACAUGCAAGUCGAACGGAAAGGCCCUGCUUUUGUGGGGUGCUCGAGUGGCAAACGGGUGAGUAACACGUGAGUAACCUGCCCUUGACUUUGGGAUAACUUCAGGAAACUGGGGCUAAUACCGGAUAGGAGCUCCUGCUGCAUGGUGGGGGUUGGAAAGUUUCGGCGGUUGGGGAUGGACUCGCGGCUUAUCAUCUUGUUGGUGGGGUAGUGGCUUACCAAGGCUUUGACGGGUAGCCGGCCUGAAAGGGUGACCGGCCACAUUGGGACUGAUAUACCGCCCAUACUCCUACGGGAGGCAGCAGUGGGGAAUAUUGCACAAUGGGCGGAAGCCUGAUGCAGCAACCCCGCGUGCGGGAUGACGGCCUUCCGGUUGUAAACCGCUUUCGCCUGUGACGAAGCGUGAGUGACGGUAAUGGGUAAAGAAGCACCGGCUAACUACGUGCCAUCAGCCGCGGUGAUACGUAGGGUGCCAGCGUUGUCCGGAUUUAUUGGGCGUAAAGGGCUCGUACGAGGUUGAUCGCGUCGAAAGUGUAAUCUUGGGGCUUAACCCUGAGCGUGCUUUCGAUACGGGUUGACUUGAGGAAGGUAGGGGAGAAUGGAAUUCCUGGUGGAGCGGUGGAAUGCGCAGAUAUCAGGAGGAACACCAGUGGCGAAGGCGGUUCUCUGGGCCUUUCCUGACGCUGAGGAGCGAAAGCGUGGGGAGCGAACAGGCUUAGAUACCCUGGUAGUCCACGCUGUAAACGGUGGGUACUAGGUGUGGGGUCCAUUCCACGGGUUCCGUGCCGUAGCUAACGCUUUAAGUACCCCGCCUGGGGAGUACGGCUGCAAGGCUAAAACUCAAAGGAAUUGACGGGGCCCCGCACAAGCGGCGGAGCAUGCGGAUUAAUUCGAUGCAACGCGUAGAACCUUACCUGGGUUUGACAUGGAUCGGGAGUGCUCAGAGAUGGGUGUGCCUCUUUUGGGGUCGGUUCACAGGUGGUGCAUGGCUGUCGUCAGCUCGUGUCGUGAGAUGUUGGGUUAAGUCCCGCAACGAGCGCAACCCUUGUUCACUGUUGCCAGCACGUUAUGGUGGGGACUCAGUGGAGACCGCCGGGGUCAACUCGGAGGAAGGUGGGGAUGACGUCAGGUCAUCAUGCCCCUUAUGUCCAGGGCUUCACGCAUGCUACAAUGGCUGGUACAGAGAGUGGCGAGCCUGUGACGGUGAGCGAAUCUCGGAAAGCCGGUCUCAGUUCGGAUUGGGGUCUGCAACUCGACCUCAUGAAGUCGGAGUCGCUAGUAAUCGCAGACCAGCAACGCUGCGGUGAAUACAUUCCCGGG
This 1343-nucleotide ribosomal RNA is filed under the name uncultured bacterium. Its description in RNAcentral is "16S ribosomal RNA". It matches the Rfam family "Bacterial small subunit ribosomal RNA", at positions 28 to 1378 of the family's 1533-position model. The record is from RNAcentral.